Molecule: non-coding RNA, 1021 nt
Organism: Prunus avium (sweet cherry)
Lineage: Eukaryota; Viridiplantae; Streptophyta; Magnoliopsida; Rosales; Rosaceae
Source: RefSeq, a predicted model, not a curated record
GUUUGAAAAUGACUCUGCCUUGGUAGUGGCAAUUGAGAACUGGAAAAAUUAUGAUACACAUAUGGGAAGAAAAUACAAACAAAAGAGCAGUGCAAGAAUCAGGAUCUAUAUCAGUAUUUUACAUCCUCUUCAAAUUGCACAUUGGAGAGCGUUCCCACCAACUAGGGAACGCUAAAUUGAUUUACAUCUAAUGAUCUAAUUUUUAUAUCAAUGUAUGAGAUGAAACAUAAUAAUAAAACGUGAAAACCAAUUUAAAGUGUCAAAGUGUUAACAAAAAACUAUAAUAUUGAUAUCAAUGUAUGAGAUGAAACAUAAUAGUAAAUCGAAAACCAAUAAAAACUGCCAAGUGUUGAAGUAAGUAAAUGAGGAGCAAAAUGGAUUUUCCCAUGGAGAAUUGUGCACAGCAUAUGGACUCGAGGUGUGGAUUUUAUUGUUUUUCAUUUGCCUCUACGCUAGUUUCCUUCAACUACAAGACACCCAUUUAAAUACUUGCCUAAGAACAAGGCCUUAGGUUAGUUUAUAAGGUUGAAAAACAAAAACAACAGAAAUCUAGGGCUCAAGUUUUGUUCUUUUUCUUGAUCUUAAUCUCAAAUGCUAUAUAAAUAGGGCUAUAGUGAAUUAAAGCUUCUAAUUACAUGCUACUUGUUAAAGAAAUUUCUAUCAUGUAACUUGGAGUAAGAAAUGGAAACUGAACUGGCUCAGCCACUUUUCCUAGGUAUCUAGUUCUUCAGCCAUUUACUGAAAUAUGUACUGCAUGGUACAGAAUCUCUUGUUAUGGUUUAAAUUGGAAAGGCAAAAAACUCGUUUUCGGUCAUUUUAAACCUUCAUCCUCUUUCCGUGUUCUUUUUUGGGUUUAAGCUUGGGAGGUGGUGAUUGCAACACCCUCAUCUUGCCAGCAAAGAGAAGGAACAAAAGGAGGGGCACCAAUCAGGAUUGUGAAAAACUCAAUAAAAGAAAAGCAACAAUGAUUAGCAAAUCCCAGCAAAGGAAGCUGAAGAAGUUGGAGGAGGAGAAGGAAAAA